UACAGGGGGGGCAAGCGUUGUUCGGAAUUACUGGGCGUAAAGGGCUCGUAGGCGGCCAACUAAGUCACACGUGAAAUCCCCAGGCUUAACCUGGGAACUGCGUGUGAUACUGGAUGGCUUGAAUUCGGGAGAGGGAUGCAGAAUUCCAGGUGUAGCGGUGAAAUGCGUAGAUAUUGGGAGGAACACCAGUGGCGAAGGCGGCUCACUGGACCGGAACUGACGCUGAGGCGCGAAAGCGUGGGGAGCAAACAGG
RNAcentral lists this ribosomal RNA (253 nucleotides) under uncultured bacterium. RNAcentral describes it as "partial 16S ribosomal RNA". It matches the Rfam family "Bacterial small subunit ribosomal RNA", at positions 524 to 776 of the family's 1533-position model. The record is from RNAcentral.